UACGUAGGGGGCUAGCGUUAUCCGGAAUUACUGGGCGUAAAGGGUGCGUAGGUGGUUUCUUAAGUCAGAGGUGAAAGGCUACGGCUCAACCGUAGUAAGCCUUUGAAACUGGGAAACUUGAGUGCAGGAGAGGAGAGUGGAAUUCCUAGUGUAGCGGUGAAAUGCGUAGAUAUUAGGAGGAACACCAGUUGCGAAGGCGGCUCUCUGGACUGUAACUGACACUGAGGCACGAAAGCGUGGGGAGCAAAACAGGAUUAGAUACCCCCGUAGUCCCUGAGCGGGCU
This 284-nucleotide ribosomal RNA is filed under the name uncultured prokaryote. Its description in RNAcentral is "partial 16S ribosomal RNA". It matches the Rfam family "Bacterial small subunit ribosomal RNA", at positions 524 to 817 of the family's 1533-position model. The record is from RNAcentral.